UAGACACCCAGGAAGAUUUGGCAUUGCUUGACAACAGUUUGAGGCAGGAUAAAGAGCUCCAGCAACGAUUUCUUCGGUUUUUGGCAAUCAAAUGUGGGAGGGACCUAAAGACAACCGUGUGGCGAAUGCUUCAGAGUAUCUUCUCUAAUCACCUUUCCAUCAAUACAACCUGGACUGGUGUAGGGGAUAAAGCAUGUUUUAGAGACAUGUUCCUGAAGACCAUUGUUCAAAGAGCCAUCCGGAAGAACACGGCAACCCAGGAUGCCACUGAUGAGGCGAUCCAGGUUAACGUUACGCGUUACCUGAAAGGAGCAUCUGAACGUGAAGGUGGAAAAA
Molecule: long non-coding RNA, 336 nt
Organism: Xyrauchen texanus (razorback sucker)
Lineage: Eukaryota; Metazoa; Chordata; Actinopteri; Cypriniformes; Catostomidae
Exons: 3
Source: RefSeq, a predicted model, not a curated record